This 450-nucleotide ribosomal RNA is filed under the name uncultured bacterium. RNAcentral describes it as "bacterial SSU rRNA". It matches the Rfam family "Bacterial small subunit ribosomal RNA", at positions 29 to 526 of the family's 1533-position model. The record is from RNAcentral.
AACGAACGCUGGCGGCAGGCUUAACACAUGCAAGUCGAGCGCCCCGCAAGGGGAGCGGCAGACGGGUGAGUAACGCGUGGGAAUUUACCCAGCUCUACGGAAUAACCCAGGGAAACUUGGACUAAUACCGUAUACGUCCUUCGGGAGAAAGAUUUAUCGGAGUUGGAUGAGCCCGCGUUGGAUUAGCUAGUUGGUGGGGUAAUGGCCUACCAAGGCGACGAUCCAUAGCUGGUCUGAGAGGAUGAUCAGCCACACUGGGACUGAGACACGGCCCAGACUCCUACGGGAGGCAGCAGUGGGGAAUAUUGGACAAUGGGCGCAAGCCUGAUCCAGCCAUGCCGCGUGAGUGAUGAAGGCCUUAGGGUUGUAAAGCUCUUUUGCCGGGGACGAUAAUGACGGUACCCGAAGAAUAAGCCCCGGCUAACUUCGUGCCAGCCGCCGCAGUAACAC